This 484-nucleotide ribosomal RNA is filed under the name uncultured bacterium. RNAcentral's name for it is "partial 16S ribosomal RNA". It matches the Rfam family "Bacterial small subunit ribosomal RNA", at positions 30 to 507 of the family's 1533-position model. The record is from RNAcentral.
AUUGAACGCUGGCGGCAGGCCUAACACAUGCAAGUCGAGCGGAUGAAGGGAGCUUGCUCCUGGAUUCAGCGGCGGACGGGUGAGUAAUGCCUAGGAAUCUGCCUGGUAGUGGGGGAUAACGUCCGGAAACGGGCGCUAAUACCGCAUACGUCCUGAGGGAGAAAGUGGGGGAUCUUCGGACCUCACGCUAUCAGAUGAGCCUAGGUCGGAUUAGCUAGUUGGUGGGGUAAAGGCCUACCAAGGCGACGAUCCGUAACUGGUCUGAGAGGAUGAUCAGUCACACUGGAACUGGGACACGGUCCAGACUCCUACGGGAGGCAGCAGUGGGGAAUAUUGGACAAUGGGCGAGAGCCUGAUCCAGCCAUGCCGCGUGUGUGAAGAAGGUCUUCGGAUUGUAAAGCACUUUAAGUUGGGAGGAAGGGCAGUAAGUUAAUACCUUGCUGUUUUGACGUUACCAGCAGAAUAAGCACCGGCUAACUACGUG